AGCCCUAGCUCCAGCCCCGCGCCGCCGUUCUGAACUGUUAGGCCAACCUAUAGAAACCCUUGGAAAUUUACUAUUCCAGUGAAGCUGGAGAACCGGGACAAUCCUGAUGUGAUGGAGCCUGGGGACAAACAAGCCGGACCCCAGGCAAGGGCAAGGUGCUGGGUACCUGCCCAGAGCACGAACAGAAGAAGCUCCCUGCUGGCCUCCCCGCGGGUUCUGGGCACAAAAUGUCUCUGCCGACCUUAAUACAUAAGGGCUACCUUAGCGGCAAUUAUGCACUUAGGUUCCUUCACUUCCGGUAUUUAUUUAAGAACCCUAGGCCCUUCUCCUAGGUACCUUAGAGUUGACCUUGACUGGGCCACAGGAACCUUAUGUCUAGAUUUUGUAUUUGUGAUAUUGUGGGGGUAGUGUGGGGGAGGGGUGCUGCCCUGAUGCUCCAAAUCUAACAGCUUUCUGCACAGCAAGUGGGUUACCUGGUACAUAAUGUAUUUUUAAAACCUAUUUCGGGAUUACAUUGCUAUGACCAAGUAAUGUAUUUGAAACUUAGUUCGAGUCAUUGGUCCUAGGAUCUUUGGGAUUUAUUUCUGUAAACUAGUAAAUAAUAAAAAUAACUGCUACAAUUUA
Molecule: long non-coding RNA, 624 nt
Filed under: Rattus norvegicus (Norway rat)
Lineage: Eukaryota; Metazoa; Chordata; Mammalia; Rodentia; Muridae
Description: long non-coding RNA NONRATT003639
Source: RNAcentral